ACGGGAGGCAGCAGUGGGGAAUAUUGGGCAAUGGGCGAAAGCCUGACCCAGCAACGCCGCGUGAAGGAAGAAGGUCUUCGGAUUGUAAACUUCUUUUAUAAGGGACGAAGAAAGUGACGGUACCUUAUGAAUAAGCCACGGCUAACUACGUGCCAGCAGCCGCUGUAAUACGUAGGUGGCAAGCGUUAUCCGGAUUUACUGGGUGUAAAGGGCGCGUAGGCGGGGAUGCAAGUCAGAUGUGAAAUCCAUGGGCUUAACCCAUGAACUGCAUUUGAAACCGUAUCUCUUGAGUGCUGGAGAGGUAGACGGAAUUCCUUGUGUAGCGGUGAAAUGCGUAGAUAUAAGGAAGAACACCAGUGGCGAAGGCGGUCUACUGGACAGUAACUGACGCUGAGGCGCGAAAGCGUGGGGAGCAAACAGGAUUAGAUACCCUGGUA
RNAcentral lists this ribosomal RNA (437 nucleotides) under uncultured Oscillospiraceae bacterium. RNAcentral's name for it is "partial 16S ribosomal RNA". It matches the Rfam family "Bacterial small subunit ribosomal RNA", at positions 341 to 792 of the family's 1533-position model. Lineage: Bacteria; Bacillati; Bacillota; Clostridia; Eubacteriales; Oscillospiraceae. The record is from RNAcentral.